This 499-nucleotide ribosomal RNA is filed under the name uncultured bacterium. RNAcentral describes it as "partial 16S ribosomal RNA". It matches the Rfam family "Bacterial small subunit ribosomal RNA", at positions 30 to 523 of the family's 1533-position model. The record is from RNAcentral.
AUUGAACGCUGGCGGAAUGCUUUACACAUGCAAGUCGAACGGCAGCACGACUUCGGUCUGGUGGCGAGUGGCGAACGGGUGAGUAAUGUAUCGGAACGUGCCCAGUCGUGGGGGAUAACGUAGUGAAAAUUACGCUAAUACCGCAUACGAUCUAUGGAUGAAAGCGGGGGAUCGCAAGCCCUCGCGCGAUUGGAGCGGCCGAUAUCAGAUUAGGGAGUUGGUUGGGUAAAGGCCCACCAAGCCAACGAUCUGUAGCAGCUCUGAGAGGACGACCAGGCAGAAUGGAACAGAGACACGGUCCAGACUCCGACGGGAGGCAGCAGUGGGGAAUUUUGGACGAUGGGCGAAGGCCUGAUCCAGCCAUUCCGAGUGCAGGAUGAAGGCCCUCGGGUUGUAAACUGCUUUUGUACAGAACGAAAAGGUUUCUACUAAUACUAGGAGCUCAUGACGGUACUGUAGGAAUAAGCACCGGCUAACUACGUGCCAGCCGCCGCAGUAA